Molecule: ribosomal RNA, 253 nt
Filed under: uncultured bacterium
Lineage: Bacteria
Description: partial 16S ribosomal RNA
Rfam family: Bacterial small subunit ribosomal RNA
Source: RNAcentral
GACAGAGGGUGCAAACGUUGUUCGGAAUUACUGGGCGUAAAGCGCGUGUAGGCUGUUCGGAAAGUCGGAUGUGAAAGCCCUGGGCUCAACCUAGGAAGUGCAUUCGAAACUUCCGAGCUGGAGUUCUGGAGAGGAAGGCGGAAUUCUCGGUGUAGAGGUGAAAUUCGUAGAUAUCGAGAGGAACACCGGUGGCGAAGGCGGCCUUCUGGACAGUGACUGACGCUGAGACGCGAAAGCGUGGGGAGCAAACAGG